GACGAACGCUGGCGGCGUGCUUAACACAUGCAAGUCGAGCGGUAAGGCCCUUUCGGGGGUACACGAGCGGCGAACGGGUGAGUAACACGUGGGUGACCUGCCCUUAGCUCUGGGAUAAGCCUGGGAAGCUGGGUCUAAUACCGGAUAUGACUCCAUGACGCAUGUUGUGGGGUGGAAAGCCUUGUGCGGCUAGGGAUGGGCCCGCGGCCUAUCAGCUUGUUGGUGGGGUGAUGGCCACCAAGGCGACGACGGGUAGCCGGCCUGAGAGGGCGACCGGCCACACUGGGACUGAGACACGGCCCAGACUCCUACGGGAGGCAGCAGUGGGGAACCUUGCGCAAUGGGCGAAAGCCUGACGCAGCGACGCCGCGUGAGGGAUGACGGCCU
RNAcentral lists this ribosomal RNA (387 nucleotides) under uncultured bacterium. RNAcentral describes it as "bacterial SSU rRNA". It matches the Rfam family "Bacterial small subunit ribosomal RNA", at positions 28 to 417 of the family's 1533-position model. The record is from RNAcentral.